Molecule: transfer RNA, 86 nt
Filed under: Arthrobacter sp. D5-1
Lineage: Bacteria; Bacillati; Actinomycetota; Actinomycetes; Micrococcales; Micrococcaceae
Also listed under: 1 other name
Description: tRNA-Leu
Rfam family: tRNA
About the family: Transfer RNA (tRNA) molecules are approximately 80 nucleotides in length.
Source: RNAcentral
GCGCGGGUGGCGGAAUGGCAGACGCGCUAGCUUGAGGUGCUAGUCCUCGAAAGGGGGUGGGGGUUCAAGUCCCCCUCCGCGCACUA